UAUCUUAGCAACUGAUUUUUUUUCUUUUUUUUGGCAGUUGCUACGGUGCCCGAUGGCUUAAAGGCAUGAGAAUUACUGAAGGGAAGACCACACGAUGUGGGUCUCAUAUUGAUAGAAGUGGAUCUGCCUUCAAUAUCUGGGUCUCAAGCAGUGGUUGGGCUGAAGGUGAAUGUAAGGGAAAAGCCGGUUGGUUCCCAUUUAACUAUGUGGAAAGGCGAGAACGCUUGCGACCAAGGUGGCUGAAGUCUUCUGAGGUUACCCAGUACUGGAGCUUUUCUUACCUUUGUUUUUAUCAGAAAUUUUCGUCUCUUCUGUUGGUAAUCUAGUGGUUAAACAGUGGAGAUGACUUUUUUGUGGAAGCAUUUUGUCAAGAUGGAAGGAUUUACUUCACCAUUGCACUUAGACAUUUUGGAGAUGACUUCUCUGUUUUCUUUAUUUGUUUUGAAUGUUAAGGUUUUGGACACUGUAUGAAUUAUGUUGUACACGUAAUUUUAUUGACAGC
This is an RNA transcript of Morus notabilis, 502 nucleotides long. RefSeq lists it as uncharacterized. NCBI's taxonomy places the organism in Eukaryota, Viridiplantae, Streptophyta, Magnoliopsida, Rosales, Moraceae. The record is from RefSeq and is a predicted model, not a curated record. The transcript has 3 exons.